This is a long non-coding RNA of Anguilla rostrata (American eel), 709 nucleotides long. RefSeq lists it as uncharacterized. The record is from RefSeq and is a predicted model, not a curated record. The transcript has 4 exons. NCBI's taxonomy places the organism in Eukaryota, Metazoa, Chordata, Actinopteri, Anguilliformes, Anguillidae.
UCAAAUCCACCCCAGACGCAGGUGAGUUUCCAGCGCGUGAAGCAAAUAGUUAAGCAAUUUGGAAGAUAACCGCUUUUGUUUUGUUGUAGCAAAAACCAUACACGUCUCAGUUAAACUAAUAUUCAAAGUUUACGACGGAGAAAUUGAAGAUGCCACCGUCGCAACAAAGCACUUCGUCUCAGGUUUCGUAGUUGUCUUUGGGGGACCCUGAUGCAAGUCGUCUACUGACCAAGCCUACCUGCUGAAUGACAGGAGCAGGAAGCGCUGUGCCCUGGAGGCGGGGCCGCCUCCUGGCUGAUGCGGGACGCCCGGCCCUCGUCCCCCGCGGCUGCUGCUACCGCCUGUCCACCCGCGUGAGCCUCGUCCCGGAGACGGGUCCGUCCUGCCGAAGAGGGCCACUCCAAAGCCGGCGAAAACAAAGACGUACCAUAACUCCCCACCCCGGAAGGUUCCAGAAUUCAUAACUUGCCCGCGAUAUCCAUCUUUCCCUGCUUCAAUGUCACCGCGGCCUCACUGCCGUUCAGCAUGGCUGCGAUUAGCGAGGAGAGUGAGAUACGGCUGCCUGGGCUUAUAACGGCUGACUCUGAAGGUUCUUACUAGACUUCUCUGUGAUGGCAGCAAUGGGCCCAUCGCACUCGGCUAAUGACCUGAACAAGAUCCCUUUUGCUGGGAUAUAAUGAGCAGAUGUAUGGGACUGUAUUUAUUUCUG